Molecule: ribosomal RNA, 308 nt
Filed under: uncultured eukaryote
Lineage: Eukaryota
Description: partial 18S ribosomal RNA
Rfam family: Eukaryotic small subunit ribosomal RNA
Source: RNAcentral
CCCUUAGAUGUUCUGGGCAGCACGCGCGCUACAAUGGUCUUCGCAAACGGAUGCAUUCUCGAAGGAGAAUGCCAAUCUUGGAAUCUAUGCCUUGGUCGGGACAGUUGCUUGCAAUUUUUCGACUCGAACCAGGAAUUCCUUGUAAUCGUGAUUCAUCACAUCACGAUGAAUACGUCCCUGCCCUUUGUACACACCGCCCGUCGCACCUACCGAUUGAAUGGUCCGGUGAAGCCUCCGGAUUGCGCGGCUUCGGCUGUCGCGAGAAGUUGGCUAAACCUUACCAUUUAGAGGAAGGUGAAGUCGUAACA